RNAcentral lists this ribosomal RNA (253 nucleotides) under uncultured bacterium. RNAcentral's name for it is "partial 16S ribosomal RNA". It matches the Rfam family "Bacterial small subunit ribosomal RNA", at positions 524 to 776 of the family's 1533-position model. The record is from RNAcentral.
UACAGAGGUCUCAAGCGUUGUUCGGAUUCAUUGGGCGUAAAGGGUGCGUAGGUGGCGCCAUAAGUCAGGUGUGAAAUCUCGGGGCUUAACUCCGAAACUGCAUUUGAUACUGUGGUGCUUGAGGACUGGAGAGGAGACUGGAAUUCACGGUGUAGCAGUGAAAUGCGUAGAGAUCGUGAGGAAGACCAGUGGCGAAGGCGGGUCUCUGGACAGUUCCUGACACUGAGGUGCGAAAGCGUGGGGAGCGAACAGG